Xenia sp. Carnegie-2017 is the source of this 773-nucleotide long non-coding RNA. RefSeq lists it as uncharacterized. The transcript is spliced from 2 exons. The record is from RefSeq and is a predicted model, not a curated record. Lineage: Eukaryota; Metazoa; Cnidaria; Anthozoa; Malacalcyonacea; Xeniidae.
GAAAUAAAAUCCACAUAAAUAAGAUAUGACAAUACUUUUUUCAUCUCAGUUCUAUUCAGAUUGUAAUAUUUACAUAAAUUGUUGUAAAUGUCUGACGUUUCGGUUUCCUCUACGGAAACCACUAUCAAAGACGGUCAUAUAAAUACUAAUGAGCAGCUGAAGACACAAAAUAAUGCAGAAAACGACUUUGAACAGUCACAAGCAAACGAGGGAGACAACAGUUGUGAUGGAACAGCUGUUGUUUGCAACUUAAUAGAUAAAAAAAAUUUCCAUACCUCAAAGGAUUGAAUUUCCUCUCAAUUCAGACAGAGACAGCUUCAAUUCUAAAACGAAGCGAAUACUAGAUGAACAUGUGCUUCUCAACUUUGUGAUGUACAAUUUGCCUUCCACGUUGCGCAAGAUCGUUUCGCUUUCAAGUCCAAAACAGUCGUUUUCGCAAAAUUAUGUCAUGGGGUGUUGUCAUUCUGUGAUUGCUACGAAGAGACCUGGUAAAGAGUCACGUGUUUCGAAACCACUUUACUUUGUCAACCUGAAUGACAAGACAAAAACUCUGACCGAAAUGCAAAUUACAAUUUCCAAGUCAAAUAUUGAAUGCCAAAAAAUCAUGACGCAGAUGUUGUUUGACUGCGCGUGCUCAUAUAACAAGAAGAAACCAAAAAAUAAAUUUUAAAGUAUGCAUGAUUUUAUGGAUUACAUAGAUAUGGUCGUUAGGAUAUAAUUAAUGUUGUUUAGACAGCGUUAAUUGAUAAAUAUAAAGUGAAUUUGCAAGGUAA